RNAcentral lists this transfer RNA (73 nucleotides) under Ornatilinea apprima. It matches the Rfam family "tRNA". Rfam says of the family: Transfer RNA (tRNA) molecules are approximately 80 nucleotides in length. Their secondary structure includes four short double-helical elements and three loops (D, anti-codon, and T loops). Lineage: Bacteria; Bacillati; Chloroflexota; Anaerolineae; Anaerolineales; Anaerolineaceae. The record is from Rfam by way of RNAcentral. RNAcentral also lists the same sequence under 1 other name.
UCCACGAUAGCUCAAUCGGCAGAGCAAGCGGCUGUUAACCGCUCGGUUCCAGGUUCGAGUCCUGGUCGUGGAG